RNAcentral lists this ribosomal RNA (239 nucleotides) under uncultured bacterium. RNAcentral describes it as "partial 16S ribosomal RNA". It matches the Rfam family "Bacterial small subunit ribosomal RNA", at positions 538 to 776 of the family's 1533-position model. The record is from RNAcentral.
GCGUUGUUCGGAAUUACUGGGCGUAAAGGGCUCGUAGGCGGCCAACUAAGUCGGAUGUGAAAUCCCCAGGCUCAACCUGGGAACUGCAUCCGAUACUGGAUGGCUUGAAUUCGGGAGAGGGAUGCAGAAUUCCAGGUGUAGCGGUGAAAUGCGUAGAUAUCUGGAGGAAUACCGGUGGCGAAGGCGGCAUCCUGGACCGACAUUGACGCUGAGGAGCGAAAGCUAGGGGAGCAAACGGG